Molecule: transfer RNA, 542 nt
Filed under: uncultured cyanobacterium
Lineage: Bacteria; Bacillati; Cyanobacteriota
Description: partial miscellaneous RNA
Rfam family: tRNA (bases 212-284)
Source: RNAcentral
CAGGGAGACAACAAAAUGUUUAAUAUUAUUAUUUUGUCACCUUAGGUCGAUCGGUAUCUCACGUUCUUAGUUUAUUAAGAAUUUCAUUUCCUAAGUUUUUCUAGGUCACACCCAUUAUUUUUCCUGGGCCAUUAGCUCAGGUGGUUAGAGCGCACCCCUGAUAAGGGUGAGGUCCCUGGUUCAAGUCCAGGAUGGCCCAUAUCUCUAUGUUGGGGGUAUAGCUCAGUCGGUAGAGCGCCUGCUUUGCAAGCAGGAUGUCAGCGGUUCGAGUCCGCUUACCUCCACUGAUUACCACCUCUUCCAUAACCGGUAGAAAGGAAAUGUUUUGAGUUGUGAUCAUUAUUCUGAACGAAUCUAGCUUCCUAAUGAAAUCAUUAAGAUGCUGGACUCAUUGAAUUAUUUUCAUUGUUUUCAGAGAACCUUGACAACUGCAUAGAUUAUUUUUAAAGACAAUAAGCAUCUUUAAUGAUGCAGAUUUAUUAUCUGUGCGAAUGCAUUAAUAACAAUUCUAUUAGGCUGAUGCUUCAAUUUUUGAAGUUAUU